AGUGAACGCUGGCGGUAGGCCUAACACAUGCAAGUCGAACGGCAGCACAGGAGAGCUUGCUCUCUGGGUGGCGAGUGGCGGACGGGUGAGGAAUACAUCGGAAUCUACUCUGUCGUGGGGGAUAACGUAGGGAAACUUACGCUAAUACCGCAUACGACCUACGGGUGAAAGCAGGGGAUCUUCGGACCUUGCGCGAUUGAAUGAGCCGAUGUCGGAUUAGCUAGUUGGCGGGGUAAAGGCCCACCAAGGCGACGAUCCGUAGCUGGUCUGAGAGGAUGAUCAGCCACACUGGAACUGAGACACGGUCCAGACUCCUACGGGAGGCAGCAGUGGGGAAUAUUGGACAAUGGGCGCAAGCCUGAUCCAGCCAUACCGCGUGGGUGAAGAAGGCCUUCGGGUUGUAAAGCCCUUUUGUUGGGAAAGAAAUCCAGCUGGUUAAUACCCGGUUGGGAUGACGGUACCCAAAGAAUAAGCACCGACUAACUUCGUGCCAGCAGCCGCGGUAAUACGAAGGGUGCAAGCGUUACUCGGAAUUACUGGGCGUAAAGCGUGCGUAGGUGGUUAUUUAAGUCCGUUGUGAAAGCCCUGGGCUCAACCUGGGAACUGCAGUGGAUACUGGAUGACUAGAAUGUGGUAGAGGGUAGCGGAAUUCCUGGUGUAGCAGUGAAAUGCGUAGAGAUCAGGAGGAACAUCCAUGGCGAAGGCAGCUACCUGGACCAACAUUGACACUGAGGCACGAAAGCGUGGGGAGCAAACAGG
This 759-nucleotide ribosomal RNA is filed under the name uncultured Stenotrophomonas sp. Its description in RNAcentral is "bacterial SSU rRNA". It matches the Rfam family "Bacterial small subunit ribosomal RNA", at positions 28 to 776 of the family's 1533-position model. The record is from RNAcentral. Lineage: Bacteria; Pseudomonadati; Pseudomonadota; Gammaproteobacteria; Lysobacterales; Lysobacteraceae.